UACGUAGGUGGCAAGCGUUGUCCGGAUUUAUUGGGUUUAAAGGGUGCGUAGGCGGCCCUGUAAGUCAGUGCUGAAAUAUCCCAGCUUAACUGGGAGGGUGGCAUUGAUACUGCGGGGCUAGAGUACAGAUGAGGUAGGUGGAAUUGACGGUGUAGCGGUGAAAUGCUUAGAUAUCGUCAAGAACACCUACAGCGAAGGCAGCUUACUAGGCUGUAACUGACGCUGAGGCACGAAAGUGUGGGGAUCAAACAGG
This 253-nucleotide ribosomal RNA is filed under the name uncultured bacterium. RNAcentral describes it as "partial 16S ribosomal RNA". It matches the Rfam family "Bacterial small subunit ribosomal RNA", at positions 524 to 776 of the family's 1533-position model. The record is from RNAcentral.